GUAAUAACCUCUUGGAUCAUUGGAACCAACUCAAGUUUUACUUUCAAAACCUCAUCCUCUAACAUGCCAAUCUGACUGCUACUGUUAACCAUGUAGCUUAGAAGCAAAUGCACAUCCAAUGCAGAUUCAAACAUCACUUUAGCAACCUGAGAAGUCGCCUGCACUGUAAGGGCAGUGCUGACUGUGAAGAGUCCUUCAGAAUCCAAGUUAUGCUCAUAUUUUCGAGGCACGAGAAAUUUCAAAUAGCUUUCAAUAACAUGCAAAACGCUCCUCCAUGUGGUAGCUCUACUGCACAAGUUGUGCAGGGAUAAAAACAUAUCUACUGAAAAUUUUCUGAGACUUUUGUGGUAGGAAAUUUCCUUAUUCAAUGCUACAUCAGUUCCAAGUUCGGAUAAAUGGAGUGCCAUUGAUGAGCUAUAUCCACUAUCUAAAUUUUUCAGCAACCGAGGAAUGACUUCUUCAGAUGAUAAACUUGGUGUUCUAAGAAGAGACUCAUAAAAUAUGGCAGGAGCAGCUUUGCCCAACUGUUGACGGAGAGUAUUAACACACUGCAGUAUUUCAAAAAGAAUUUCCCGUUCAAGAUCACUAUCGGAGGAGUCAAACCUAGAGCAUAUUAUAUUUCCAUGUUCACCGGAAGUUCCUGAGGCAAAAACAAGAAGCUCUAUGUCCUCCAGACUACGACACAUGGAGACUGAGUU
Molecule: unclassified non-coding RNA, 698 nt
Filed under: Hevea brasiliensis (rubber tree)
Lineage: Eukaryota; Viridiplantae; Streptophyta; Magnoliopsida; Malpighiales; Euphorbiaceae
Source: RNAcentral